AUCCCUCUCUCUCUCUGCAGCCUCCUUCUCUCUAAAAAAUGCUCUCUCUCUCCCAGACCAAGGGCGGCGUCGCCGCUGCCAUGACGCCGUCCCACCUUCAUCCCUCCGUUCACCAUUAAUGCCACCACGAGCCACCACCGCCUCAACCACCGGAGAAAUUUCCAUCUCCGACAACGAUCGACGACAACAACCCCCUACCCCGUAUCCUGUUGUCCGUCUUCACCGCCACCAACAACAACGGACCUCUCCGCAUUCCAAUCGAUCCGUCUUCUCACUGCCGCCGCUGCUUUACUCUUCCCUCCCAGGUUGAUAAAAUACCCCCAUUGUCAUUGUCUAGUUGUCAUAACCAGCUAGGCUUUCGACAAACAUCGGCUAUUUCUAUCUAGUUUGAUUUCUCAAACUCUUAAUUACAUGAUUAUUUUCUUUGGUUAACAUGUAUGAUUAUUUUCUAUCAUUUCAAAUCAAUCCUGCAGCUUUAUAAAUUAUGAUACUGUGACUUUGAAUUUUGUAUCUAUUUGUUAAUUUUUGGGCUUAUGUUCGUCUCUAGAUUGACAUACCUAUUCAAAGCCCCAAGUUUUAUUAUUUUAAUUUCGUAAUUUGAAGUAUGAUACCUUUAAAUCUGAUAUCCUUCACUGUUUGGUCUAAAAUAUGCUUGAGUCAUCUGUUUAAAAUUUGAAUUUGCAGCCAUCUUUAUUUGGUAAGAUAAAAGUAUUACGACAGCUGAUUAUAGUAGGCUCUAGUUUACUUACAAUCAAGUAGGAUUUUUUAUUGAUAUAUGAUUGGGAUGAAAUUGUGUGAUAGCUCUUGUUCUUGCUUAUUUUAGGUAAACUGGGUAUGUCUAUGAUUUUCCUAAUCUUUUAUUCUUGUGUGGUAUGGAAAGUUUUUAUUUUAAAACUGGAUUGAUUUAUGGUAAUAUUUUAAUUACAGAAUUUUUGAUAAUUAAUGAGACCACAAGUGG
This 958-nucleotide long non-coding RNA is filed under the name Capsicum annuum. RNAcentral describes it as "long non-coding RNA (CANN_LNC001742)". The record is from RNAcentral. Lineage: Eukaryota; Viridiplantae; Streptophyta; Magnoliopsida; Solanales; Solanaceae.